This 2080-nucleotide long non-coding RNA is filed under the name Ananas comosus (pineapple). RNAcentral describes it as "long non-coding RNA (ACOM_LNC001850)". The record is from RNAcentral. Lineage: Eukaryota; Viridiplantae; Streptophyta; Magnoliopsida; Poales; Bromeliaceae.
CCAAUUUGGUCCGGUUCGGGCGCGUCGAACAGACGCCGAGCGAACAUCACCUCCCAUGUCCGCCCAAGGCUAAGCAAACGAUCAUGUACAAGAAUUUACCCAGGAAUCAAUUCACGAGUACACAAUCACGAAGUGCACGACCAGUGCUAACAGGUAAGAGCAAGGUACAAGUAUAUAGCAUACAAGUAACAAUAAAGAGAGAACAUCUAUCUAUUACAUCCAUUCAAUUCACAAAUUUACAUCUCAUUUACAUUACAUUUAAACUUCCAAAAUAUAAACAUAAAGCUUACAUUUCCAAAAUGAAACCUCACACCCUAUACAUCAUCUACUCUCAAGUACAACGGGUGGCUCUAAUGCAAAAGGAAGGUAAGCUAAUGCAACUAGGGCGCUAGGCCCUUACCGCGAUCCUCGCCGGGUGAACUCGCACUCGGCCCUGCAAUAAAGUGGGGUGAGAACUAUUGUCCAUAGUUCCCAGUGGGUUCGGCCGCCGACUCCGCCGGUCUCCCCACUAGGUCCAAGUGGGCACAAAUAGAUAAACAGAUAGAUAGAUAUGGAAAGCUGUAAGGACAGAAUAGAAAACUACACUACUAUACCCGAAUCAUAAAUAUAUGAAUGCACGUUCAUAGAAAUAGGUAAGCAACUAACUCGUCAUCAUGUCCAAGAAGUAAAGCUAUUUACUUGUUCAUUAAUCUCAUGGCUCACCCGAGGGUUCGCCUACUACUCACAUAGCCAUCUUGACGCGUAGGGAGACUCAACUCAAACUACGAAUCCGAGACCGUCUGCGGGACCCCACAUAGGCUAUCCCUCGGGACCCCAAAUAGGCUAUCCCUAUCCCACGGGACCCCAAAUAGGCUAUCCCACGUGACCAACUCCGGAGCGCACUACUUGUGUGGAGCUACCAUCACAAGUUCUGAACAGACAGUGAGUAUAAUCCAAUCCUCUUAUCUCGAGGAUACCCUAUCCUCUAGGGUUACUAUCAUCGGAAAGUCAAUAGGUUUCAUAUACACUAAGACUCACAUAUGCCACUCGUUCUUUGUUUACUAUCAACUAGGUGCCACUCGUUCUUUUGUUUAUUAUCAACUAGAUGCCACUCGUUCUUUUGUUUUCAACCAUCGAGUCCAUUUUCAUCUCUGCAUUAUAGGAUUCAUAAGUCUCGACCCAAUCCUCAUCAAUCCACUAUAUCAAGCAACUAAUGUACACUAUGAUAUCAUCUAGGAAAGCAUAAGGAAAGGCAAUGCACAAUUAUCCUACAAUGCAUGUGAAUACAAGAUGCAAGAUUUCAAUGUACUAAGACAUAGGAGGGAGUCCAGUUGCUUCGGGAUGGUCACCACCCACCUCUUGGUAGUGCCACGAAAUUAGAAAACCCAACGUCGCUUCAACUCCUCGGGGCAACCAAACCCUCAAGUACUUGUUUUGGCGAUAACUCCGCACCCGCUCGUCGGAUCGACGAACCGUCUUCGCCAACGUUUUUAUAGACCUAGCAAUUAGGUUUACAGAGGGUUAAUUGAGAUCAAACCCCCAUAUUUCCAAAAAUUGCAUUUUGAACCCUAGGUUUCAACUUUUGCAAAAAUUCACAAAAUUGAUCCAUGAUUUAGGCAACAAUCAUCUAUUUAGCAUCAUAGGAUUCCAAUAAAUCCAUUUUUAUAGCAUAUAAAUAAAGCCCUAAAAUUCUACCAUUAUAGGGUUUUGAAGUGCCCUAGGUUUCAACAACGAGGAAAUCCAUGGUUCAAGCUUCAAAUUCGAGCUAGGACCAUCUAACUAGCUCCAAUAGGUUCCAUUCGAACCAAUUCUAAACCAUAAAACCCUAUCUUAAGGAAUCUACCAUUAUAGGGUUUUGGAGCUUACCUCUAAAAGCUUCUCCGAGGUUGAGGGAGAGGAGGAAGAAGAUGAUCUUCCUCUUCUUGGUCUUCUUCUCCUUCCUUCUUUCUUUUCUUUUUCCUUUCUUUUCCUUCUCCUUUCCUUCUUCUUUCUUUCUUUCUUUCUUUCUUUCUAGAGAGAGAGAGGGAAAAGAAUGUGAGAGUGGGAGAGAAUGAGAGAACGUGAGGGAGAAGGUGUGUGUGUGUGUGUGUGUGUGUGUGUA